This 486-nucleotide ribosomal RNA is filed under the name uncultured bacterium. Its description in RNAcentral is "partial 16S ribosomal RNA". It matches the Rfam family "Bacterial small subunit ribosomal RNA", at positions 30 to 507 of the family's 1533-position model. The record is from RNAcentral.
AUUGAACGCUGGCGGCAUGCCUUACACAUGCAAGUCGAACGGCAGCACGGGUGCUUGCACCUGGUGGCGAGUGGCGAACGGGUGAGUAAUACAUCGGAACAUGUCCUGUAGUGGGGGAUAGCCCGGCGAAAGCCGGAUUAAUACCGCAUACGAUCUACGGAUGAAAGCGGGGGACCUUCGGGCCUCGCGCUAUAGGGUUGGCCGAUGGCUGAUUAGCUAGUAGGUGGGGUAAAGGCCUACCAAGGCGACGAUCAGUAGCUGGUCUGAGAGGACGACCAGCCACACUGGGACUGAGACACGGCCCAGACUCCUACGGGAGGCAGCAGUGGGGAAUUUUGGACAAUGGGCGAAAGCCUGAUCCAGCAAUGCCGCGUGUGUGAAGAAGGCCUUCGGGUUGUAAAGCACUUUUGUCCGGAAAGAAAUCCUUGGCCCUAAUACGGUCGGGGGAUGACGGUACCGGAAGAAUAAGCACCGGCUAACUACGUG